AAUUAUUGUGAAAUUUAUUUAUGUAUAUAUUCUAGUCUAUUCCAACACUUAACAUGUAAGUGGCAAGAUGACAAGAACAUAUUAAGAAUCUGAAAACUGAUGUGAUUGCCUUUAGUUAAAUCAACAACAAGUAAUACAUUAAAAGUGAUUCUCACUAGGCCAAAGGGCAGCAUUCUAAACUCCUAUGAAAGGCAGGAAGGGGCUCCCUUAUUUAUAAAUAAUUUACACAAGAAAAUAAAUGUCAAAUAAUACAUGAGACAAAAAUGUGGUUAUUUCUACUUAGGGAAAAUAAAUUUUGCUUUACAUAUCUCCUUGAACUUUUUCUGAUAUACAUGUAAAACAAUAGAAAAAAUUGUUCUAACUAUCUUACAAAUAAGGGGCUAAUUCACUAUCUGCAAUUAAUGAAAAAGGAAGAAUUAUUCCUUCAU
RNAcentral lists this long non-coding RNA (428 nucleotides) under Bos taurus (domestic cattle). RNAcentral describes it as "long non-coding RNA NONBTAT007576". The record is from RNAcentral. Lineage: Eukaryota; Metazoa; Chordata; Mammalia; Artiodactyla; Bovidae.